This 253-nucleotide ribosomal RNA is filed under the name uncultured bacterium. Its description in RNAcentral is "partial 16S ribosomal RNA". It matches the Rfam family "Bacterial small subunit ribosomal RNA", at positions 524 to 776 of the family's 1533-position model. The record is from RNAcentral.
UACGUAGGGUGCAAGCGUUAAUCGGAAUUACUGGGCGUAAAGCGUGCGCAGGCGGUUAUGUAAGUCAGAUGUGAAAGCCCCGGGCUCAACCUGGGAACUGCAUUUGAAACUGGCGGGCUUGAGUGUGGCAGAGGGGGGUGGAAUUCCGCGUGUAGCAGUGAAAUGCGUAGAGAUGCGGAGGAACACCGAUGGCGAAGGCAGCCCCCUGGGCCAACACUGACGCUCAGGCACGAAAGCGUGGGGAGCAAACAGG